GCUAGAAGUGCUCACGGUAUGAACAGAAAACUCUCCCAUGAAUUUUGCUAGUGAAUAGUGAUGAUUGAUAGGGAUAUUUGCUGAAGUAAUACAAUGUGAAUCUUAUACAUCCACUUUCCAAGUUGGAUAAUCCAUGUGAUGAUGAUGAAUUGCACACGUUCUGAUUGCCAUUAUUACAUUCAAGCGUAUACACAAUAUGUUUGCUUCAUUCAAUUUAUCUAUUCAUGUAAUUCCAAUCUUUAUUUUGCAGAUAUUGAAGCCAGCUUUUACA
This 271-nucleotide unclassified non-coding RNA is filed under the name Hevea brasiliensis (rubber tree). The record is from RNAcentral. Lineage: Eukaryota; Viridiplantae; Streptophyta; Magnoliopsida; Malpighiales; Euphorbiaceae.